Molecule: ribosomal RNA, 576 nt
Filed under: uncultured eukaryote
Lineage: Eukaryota
Description: SSU rRNA
Rfam family: Eukaryotic small subunit ribosomal RNA
Source: RNAcentral
UAAAAACCCCGACUUCGGAAGGGGUGUAUUUAUUAGAUACAAAACCAAUGCCCUUCGGGGCUCUUUGGUGAUUCAUGAUAACUAUACGAAUCGCACGGCCUUGCGCCGGCGAUGGUUCAUUCAAAUUUCUUCCCUAUCAACUUUCGAUGUUUGGGUAUUGGCCAAACAUGGUUGCAACGGGUAACGGAGGGUUAGGGCUCGACCCCGGAGAAGGAGCCUGGGAAACGGCUACUACAUCCAAGGAAGGCAGCAGGCGCGCAAAUUACCCAAUCCCGACUCGGGGAGGUAGUGACAAUAAAUACUGAUACAGGGCCCUUUCGGGCCUUGUAAUUGGAAUGAGUACAAUUUAAAUCCCUUAACGAGGAACAAUUGGAGGGCAAGUCUGGUGCCAGCAGCCGCGGUAAUUCCAGCUCCAAUAGCGUAUAUUAAAGUUGUUGUGGUUAAAAAGCUCGUAGUUGAACCUUGGGCCUGGCUGGCCGGUCCGCCUCACCGCGUGCACUGGUCCGGCCGGGCCUUUCCCUCUGUGGGACCCCAUACCCUUCACUGGGCGUGGCGGGGAAACAGGACAUUUACUUU